Molecule: long non-coding RNA, 593 nt
Organism: Toxorhynchites rutilus septentrionalis
Lineage: Eukaryota; Metazoa; Arthropoda; Insecta; Diptera; Culicidae
Exons: 3
Source: RefSeq, a predicted model, not a curated record
AUUCCUUCUUCAGUUUGUUUGAUGACAGCGUUGACACUUGUUUCACAGAUGUUGUCUCGAGAGUUUCUUCAAAAUAAUACGCAUACAUACUCUUUGUUGUUUGUACACUCACUAUCUACACUACGACACAAGCAUCUUUUUGUUCAUUAUUAAUUCAAUAUAUUGUGGUUUUUGCGAAACGAUCUGACCAAGAAAAAUGGAAUACAAAAUGAACGAGCCAUCGUACAGAAGUGCCAAUGAAGGCUAUCUGAGUAUGUCGCAGUUGUGGAAGAACGUCUGAUACCAUGCAUUCAAGGGUCCAUCGCAACAGUUACCGAUCCUCAAAUUGGCACCUCCUUCGUCGGCAGCUGGUAUAGGACCCGUAUUUACAUUUAACGAACACAUCAAUCGGUGUUGCUAUCAACAUCCCAGAAUUUAGCUGGAUAGGGUUGUUCAGUUAAAAUGUUAUUCGUCCACAUCAGCGAAAUGUUGCAUAACAUUGCGUCAUCUGAAAUGAAGCUGUACUCUAGCCGUACCUGAUAGUUCUACAGCAUAUACGCCAUUUUGUCAGUAUUAGUAAUCUGCAUUGUAAAUAAAUUAAAUAAUUACUAUCG